AGUCAUAUCUUGUAAGCUCUGAUUGGCCCGGAUUGGCCCAGAGGGCUGCUAUACGGCGUCCCUGAUUGGCUCAAAGUGUCGUUACCAAAUAUGACAAUAUGGCGAAAUUUGACAAUGUCCAGAAAGCCGUGUUGGCGCUUUUGACCUAAUAAGAGAGGACGUGUAUCCUCUGGACCGAUUGGAGUUGAUAGAAUGGCGAGUUCGACAAUGCGCCGUUAUGAAGAAACCGACACGAAAAUUUUGUGCCCUGCGUUUUUGUUUUUGUUUGACACGUGUUCGUCAUGACUGGGCGUCGGCGCACGCGAAUGUGUGAACAUACUGCGCUUCUGUACUCGAACGCGGCCAUCGGAUGUGCCCGGUCGAACGCAUCAGGCUAAAGUACCAAUUCUGGGCUACCCAGCAAUCCUGCGAGGCGGCGAAUUAAGAGGCAAGACCUCGACGUGCCCACGUGGGAGACCUAGGCCCAGCCAACUAAACUGCUGGUUUCAAUAAAAGUUUGUUCCUCCUC
RNAcentral lists this long non-coding RNA (508 nucleotides) under Dermacentor andersoni. Its description in RNAcentral is "uncharacterized LOC126541792". Lineage: Eukaryota; Metazoa; Arthropoda; Arachnida; Ixodida; Ixodidae. The record is from RNAcentral.